AACGCUAGCUACAGGCUUAACACAUGCAAGUCGCGGGGUAACGACGGAGAAAGCUUGCUUUUUCCGGGCGACGACCGGCGCACGGGUGAGUAACGCGUAUCCAACCUGCCCUAUACAAAGGCACAGCCCGGCGAAAGUCGGAUUAAUGCCUUAUGAAGUGAGAAGAAGACAUCUGAUUUUCACUAAAGCUGAGGCGGUAUAGGAUGGGGAUGCGUCCGAUUAGGUAGACGGCGGGGUAACGGCCCACCGUGCCGACGAUCGGUAGGGGUUCUGAGAGGAAGGUCCCCCACACUGGAACUGAGACACGGUCCAGACUCCUACGGGAGGCAGCAGUGAGGAAUAUUGGUCAAUGGGCGAUAGCCUGAACCAGCCAAGUAGCGUGAGGGAAGACGGCCCUAUGGGUUGUAAACCUCUUUAGUCCGGGAAUAAAGUGGGCGACGUGUCGCCUAUUGCAUGUACCGGAAGAAUAAGGACCGGCUAAUUCCGUGCCAGCAGCCGCGGUAAUACGGAAGGUCCGGGCGUUAUCCGGAUUUAUUGGGUUUAAAGGGAGCGCAGGCGGCCUGAUAAGCGGGCAGUGAAAGACGGUGGCUCAACCAUCGAGGUGCUGUCCGAACUGUCGGACUUGAGUACGUGCGAGGCAGGCGGAAUUCGUGGUGUAGCGGUGAAAUGCUUAGAUAUCACGAAGAACCCCGAUUGCGAAGGCAGCUUGCCAGUGCGCCACUGACGCUAAAGCUCGAAAGUGCGGGUAUCGAACAGGAUUAGAUACCCUGGUAGUCCGCACGGUAAACGAUGGAUGCUCGCUGUUCGU
This 808-nucleotide ribosomal RNA is filed under the name uncultured bacterium. RNAcentral describes it as "bacterial SSU rRNA". It matches the Rfam family "Bacterial small subunit ribosomal RNA", at positions 32 to 827 of the family's 1533-position model. The record is from RNAcentral.